AUAUAUAUUUACGUAACAUAUAUGUCAUACUUCGUAUUUUAAUGACAAAUUGUACACUAAAAAUUGAAUGGAAUUUCAAACGACACUUUAUGGACCUUUUUUAAUACUGUAGGAUUUCAAAUUAUGAUUUGGCUAAUUUAGUAUUGCAUAAUCGGACAGGUAUAUUGUUUAGAUAAAAUAAAAAAUUACAUUGUUUCAAUAAAUAUUCUUAUAAUUAGAACAAAAAUAUUUAAAUAUUCGGUGUUCAACUAAACAAUAUUAAAAAAAAAUUAGUUAUGAUAAAUUUUUUAAUAUUUCGUUGUGAAUCCCUUGUUGUCUAUAACAAUUUGCAGGCUCUUUGGAAUUGAUUUAUUAACUUUCGAGUUUUCUCUAAUUAGUGUUUCCCUCUUAAGCUGAAGUAUGGUGUUAAAUUUCUUCUGUUAAACUCAUCUGGCCACUUCUUCCCAGGGAUAUGUAGUCAUUUAGGUAAAGAUCUGGGCUCUUGGCUGGUGUUUGUUUUGCCAUAGUUAAAGACAAGCUGCCCUGCAAAUUACAAAAUCAUCGCUACGCUAGCAGAGCCAACUGCUUCGGCUGCACAGCCGAUGCUUUCUCGCGCGCGAUCUCCUAAAAAUGUAAUUUGAUUAAAUGUUGAUGUUAAUGUGCUUUAUAUAGUGAAUAAUUGAUGAAAUUUCAAGUGCGAGGCCGACGAUUUCAUUAAAUUUGAUCAAUUAGACCAAUUACGAGAAAAGGAAAAUAACAAUAAGAGAACGAAAUAAAUAAAGGAAUUCUUUUUCUAAAGGGCACGCGCCCUUCUUCGCAAAGUUACUUGCGAUUAGAUUUUUAUAAGCAGAAUAGCAAAAUAGUAAGUAAAUAAUAUAAAGUAUUUUUUAAUCAUAUUCGAAUCGAAUUUCUUUAUUAUUCCACGUAAUGGAUUCAUUUUAUAAGCAACAACAAAUACAACUCACAAAAGUGAUUAUUUAAGGUUAUUUAAUCAUGUCCCUUUUUCCAACGCAAACGAAAGAAAGUUGGGCCUAACUCCGUAUGACAAGGAAACGCACAAUACUCUGAAAUUUUACAUAUAUAAAAUUUGUGUAUUUAAAAUCCCUUAAAUUCUAUGUAUAAGUUAAAUAAUGAGUCAAAUUUAAAAAAAAAAUACAUUUUUAGGAAUACAAAUUUUA
Drosophila yakuba is the source of this 1157-nucleotide long non-coding RNA. RefSeq lists it as uncharacterized. Lineage: Eukaryota; Metazoa; Arthropoda; Insecta; Diptera; Drosophilidae. The transcript has 2 exons. The record is from RefSeq and is a predicted model, not a curated record.